GAUGAAGAACGCAGUGAAAUGCGAUAAGUAGUGUGAAUUGCAGAAUUCAGUGAAUCAUCGAGUCUUUGAACGCACAUUGCGCCCCCUGGUAUUCCGGGGGGCAUGCCUGUCCGAGCGUCAUUGCUGCCCUCAAGCACGGCUUGUGUGUUGGGCCUCCGUCCUCCUCCCGGGGGACGGGCCCGAAAGGCAGCGGCGGCACCGCGUCCGGUCCCCGAGCGUAUGGGGCUUCGUCACCCGCUCUUGUAGGCCCGGCCGGCGCUUGCCGACACAUCAAUCUUUUUUCCAGGUUGACCUCGGAUCAGGUAGGGAUACCCGCUGAACUUAAGCAUAUCAAUAAGCGGAGGA
RNAcentral lists this unclassified non-coding RNA (345 nucleotides) under soil metagenome. Its description in RNAcentral is "partial contains 5.8S ribosomal RNA, internal transcribed spacer 2, and large subunit ribosomal RNA". The stretch from base 1 to 120 matches the Rfam family "5.8S ribosomal RNA", at positions 35 to 154 of the family's 154-position model. The record is from RNAcentral.